AACGAACGCUGGCGGCAGGCUUAACACAUGCAAGUCGAACGCCCCGCAAGGGGAGUGGCAGACAGGUGAGUAACGCGUGGGAAUCUACCGUACCCUACGGAACAACAGUUGGAAACGACUGCUAAUACCGUAUACGCCCUACGGGGGAAAGAUUUAUCGGGGUAUGAUGAGCCCGCGUUGGAUUAGCUAGUUGGUGGGGUAAAGGCCUACCAAGGCGACGAUCCAUAGCUGGUCUGAGAGGAUGAUCAGCCACAUUGGGACUGAGACACGGCCCAAACUCCUACGGGAGGCAGCAGUGGGGAACAUUGGACAAUGGGCGCAAGCCUGAUCCAGCCAUGCCGCGUGAGUGAUGAAGGUCUUAGGAUUGUAAAGCUCUUUCACCGAUGAAGAUAAUGACAGUAGUCGGAGAAGAAGCCCCGGCUAACUUCGUGCCAGCCGCCGCAGUAA
Molecule: ribosomal RNA, 447 nt
Filed under: uncultured bacterium
Lineage: Bacteria
Description: partial 16S ribosomal RNA
Rfam family: Bacterial small subunit ribosomal RNA
Source: RNAcentral